CUCGACUGCAAAGCCCUGGGCUGAGGCCAGCACUGCCCCUCUUGUCACAGCAGAAGACAAAGAAGGAGACGCAGCUGCUUCUCCCGUGGCUCGGGACCCUCAGCACCAGGUGCCCGCUGAGCACAGAGAUGAGGCACAGCCCUCUUAUUGCUGCAGGUACAUGGCCCAGGAUGCCCCAGGCAUCGUCACCCUCCCGCACGCCCCGGUUCAAAAGCGACAGCCCUCCCGCUUCAGGAGGGUGCUCAGGGCUCUGCGCAGGGCUUUCCGCUGCUCCUGCAUCAUGGGGCAGAAGGAGCAGUAGUGCCCUGCUGCCAGUGCCAGGCAGGUCCCUAGAGACUGCAGCUGGCCCUGAGCCUGCACAGCCUCCAGAGGGAGCGGCACAGGCCAGCACACAAGGGAUGGGUGCAUGGACACAGCAUUCCGCUGCCCUGAGGAUAUCGUGCUACCAGCCUCCACUUGGCCAUGGAUGGUCUACCACACUUCACUCCAUUGUUCCUAAGGCGCAGCUUCAGGAUAUCUCCCUGUGACCCUCCAAAUUUCUGCGCACAGAUUAUCGAGAAUGGGGAGGAGCAUGGAUGAUCUCCAUGAAGUAGCAAAGCUCUUCAACAUCCAUGAAGACUAAACUCCAGAAUGGGAAGACUGCAAGGCAGCGGCGGACGCCGGCUGCGUGCACCCCUUCAUCUCGGACAACUUCCUCCAAGUACUUGUGAAUAUUCCCAGUCACCUAGAGUUCCAA
This is a long non-coding RNA of Chroicocephalus ridibundus (black-headed gull), 736 nucleotides long. RefSeq lists it as uncharacterized. The transcript is spliced from 4 exons. NCBI's taxonomy places the organism in Eukaryota, Metazoa, Chordata, Aves, Charadriiformes, Laridae. The record is from RefSeq and is a predicted model, not a curated record.